UGGGGAAUAUUGCACAAUGGGCGAAAGCCUGAUGCAGCGACGCCGCGUGAGGGAUGACGGCCUUCGGGUUGUAAACCUCUUUCAGCAGGGACGAAGCGCAAGUGACGGUACCUGCAGAAGAAGCACCGGCUAACUACGUGCCAGCAGCCGCGGUAAUACGUAGGGUGCAAGCGUUGUCCGGAAUUACUGGGCGUAAAGAGUUCGUAGGCGGUUUGUCGCGUCGUUUGUGAAAACCAGCAGCUCAACUGCUGGCUUGCAGGCGAUACGGGCAGACUUGAGUACUGCAGGGGAGACUGGAAUUCCUGGUGUAGCGGUGAAAUGCGCAGAUAUCAGGAGGAACACCGGUGGCGAAGGCGGGUCUCUGGGCAGUAACUGACGCUGAGGAACGAAAGCGUGGGUAGCGAAGAGG
RNAcentral lists this ribosomal RNA (409 nucleotides) under bacterium. RNAcentral describes it as "partial 16S ribosomal RNA". It matches the Rfam family "Bacterial small subunit ribosomal RNA", at positions 355 to 776 of the family's 1533-position model. The record is from RNAcentral.